This 494-nucleotide ribosomal RNA is filed under the name uncultured bacterium. RNAcentral describes it as "partial 16S ribosomal RNA". It matches the Rfam family "Bacterial small subunit ribosomal RNA", at positions 28 to 507 of the family's 1533-position model. The record is from RNAcentral.
GACGAACGCUGGCGGCGUGCUUAACACAUGCAAGUCGAACGGUGAAGCGCCUUCCUUUUUGGUGGGUGUGGAUGAGUGGCGAACGGGUGAGUAACACGUGAGUAACCUGCCCCCUUCUUCUGGAUAACCGCAUGAAAGUGUGGCUAAUACGGGAUAUUCUGGGUCUGUCGCAUGAUGGGUCUGGGAAAGAUAUUGUUUCGGUGGGGGAUGGGCUCGCGGCCUAUCAGCUUGUUGGUGGGGUGAUGGCCUACCAAGGCGGUGACGGGUAGCCGGCCUGAGAGGGUGGACGGUCACACUGGGACUGCGACACGGACCAGACUCCUACGGGAGGCAGCAGUGGGGAAUAUUGCACAAUGGGCGCAAGCCUGAUGCAGCGACGCCGCGUGAGGGAUGGAGGCCUGCGGGUUGUGAACCUCUUUCGCCAGUGAAGCAGGCCUGCCUCGUUUGUGGGUGGGUUGACGGUAGCUGGAUAAGAAGCGCCGGCUAACUACGUG